AGAAGGAUAGGCAAAAGUCUUGUCAACCCGGUCAGGUUCGGAAGAAAGCAGCCGUCGCAAAUCGCUUUUGGGUUAUCCUUCACUC
Molecule: signal recognition particle RNA, 85 nt
Filed under: Pseudomonadota bacterium
Lineage: Bacteria; Pseudomonadati; Pseudomonadota
Description: Proteobacteria bacterium (wastewater metagenome) signal recognition particle sRNA small type
Rfam family: Bacterial small signal recognition particle RNA
About the family: The signal recognition particle (SRP) is a universally conserved ribonucleoprotein involved in the co-translational targeting of proteins to membranes. Archaeal SRP consists of a 7S RNA and homologues of the eukaryotic SRP19 and SRP54 proteins.
Source: RNAcentral